This 253-nucleotide ribosomal RNA is filed under the name uncultured bacterium. Its description in RNAcentral is "partial 16S ribosomal RNA". It matches the Rfam family "Bacterial small subunit ribosomal RNA", at positions 524 to 776 of the family's 1533-position model. The record is from RNAcentral.
UACGGGGGGGGCAAGCGUUGUUCGGAAUUACUGGGCGUAAAGGGCUCGUAGGCGGCCAACUAAGUCAGACGUGAAAUCCCUCGGCUUAGCCGGGGAACUGCAUCUGAUACUGGAUGGCUUGAGUUCGGGAGAGGGAUGCGGAAUUCCAGGUGUAGCGGUGAAAUGCGUAGAUAUCUGGAGGAACACCGGUGGCGAAGGCGGCAUCCUGGACCGACACUGACGCUGAGGAGCGAAAGCCAGGGGAGCAAACGGG